This 1671-nucleotide long non-coding RNA is filed under the name Marmota monax (woodchuck). The record is from RNAcentral. Lineage: Eukaryota; Metazoa; Chordata; Mammalia; Rodentia; Sciuridae.
GACAACUGGCAGAAAUACCAAGAAUAAAUCAAUUACCACUUAAACCAUAAGUUGGGCAUAAUUAAAACUAAUUUUCAAAUUCUUAGAUAUAAUGUGAUUCAGAAUAAGCUUCAAACACAAUGUAAUAAAAUACAACAGCUACUAGAUGGUGCAUGGCAGGACAUCAGAAACAGCAGACAAACUGGAUUGUUUUAUGCUGAAAGUUUCUAUCAACAAACAAUAGCAUAAACUAACCAUCUAGGCCUACUGGGUAUUCAGUGUCAGCAGAUAGCUCACUACACAUAAUUAAACUUUAAGAUGGAACAUCACUGAUAGUCUGUCCCACCACAGCAACACCCCAAUAUGCAAUGAUCAUAAAUAUCAAAUUUCAGCUAAAGGAGACCCAUUAUACAAAUGAGGAUUCUGUAUGAACAAAGAAAUUAUGCAUAAAUGGUCAUCAUCAGUGUAUUAUACAUUCAAAGAGAUUACCCCAACCAUAUAUUAUUACCCCAUAAAUAUAGCAACUCUAUCUAUACAUUAGGAACAGUGGAAAUUUUAUUUAGAAACAAGCACUGAGGUGCAAUAGUAUACUCAUACCUCAGGGUCAAAUGCUCAGGUUAUUAUAAACUCAGAAUGUGUAAAGUUGACAAAUGUAAUCAAGAUUAAUAAGAAUGGAAAAUGUUACCUAUCCUCCCAUUUCCCCCCAAAUCUCAUACAGACAUUUGCUUGAAACAUAGUAUGGUAGAAUCCAAGAAAUACCACGGGUGCAUGUGACACACAUGGACAAUGUUAUUGAAAUAGCAUUGGAGGAACUGAAACAAUAGCUGGUGUCUUACAUUAAUAAUUGGAAAAUGUAAAGAAUUCAUUUCAGCUUACCAAACAUGCAGUUGCAGUACUAAAUACAUAUUCAGUUGCACUUGCAAGAUAUUGAAGUCAAUAUUGAAUAUUGAAUGCAAAAUGCUGGUUCUUCCUACUAAUUCAUAAAUCCUUCAAAGCACACACCAUGCACAGGUUCAUGGUCCAACAGGAACACUCUGACCUUAAUCAAGAUGGGCUGGUAUCAUUUGACCAGCACAAUUUGGUCAUGUCUAAAAGAAACACUGCUCUUGUUAUUAGCAGUGAUAUUUGGAUUCUGCUACUUAAAACUUAUGCCUCCAGCACUCUCUUGGGUCAGAACACCUGGGCUCAUACAUUGAGGAAUCAAGGGGUAGAGUGUGAAGGGCAGGCUGUGUCCUGCUUUGAGUUACUCUAUGAUGAAUAGAACAGUAGUUUUCAGACAGUAUUUAACCCUGAGUUACUUCAUUUAUAAAUAAAUAGUUUACCAUGAGUUACUCCAUUUGGAGUAUAUAAGGGAUGAGAUAGAAUACCUUGUUUGUACAAGUGAAGAGUCACCAUCUGUCUAACACAAUCAUAGGCACAAACUAAUAAUUGUUCUAAUAAAAAUGACCUGUGCACCUAAUGAGUUAAAUCAGAAACACAUAAAUGCAUGGGUAUACCAAAACCAUAUAAGAAAAACCAGCCCAUGAGCUCAUCAAGCCCACUAGACCACCGAAGUAACUCCCUCCCCUAAGAUCUAACCCUUUCUUAGUCUUUCUGUACCUUAUAUAUAGUUAUCCUAAAGUGUUAUAUGUUACUUGAGUUUUGUAGAUAUUAGUGAUUAAGGAUGAAAUAAAGGAACCUGUGAUUGCUGCC